RNAcentral lists this unclassified non-coding RNA (233 nucleotides) under uncultured fungus. RNAcentral describes it as "sequence contains ITS1". Lineage: Eukaryota; Fungi. The record is from RNAcentral.
GUAUUGUAUUGCGUUAAACGCGACAUGCAUUCCAUAAGACUUUGUUACGGCGUGUGUGUAAAGACGUAGGACCACGGCAAGGGGGACGGGGUCCCCAAGGCCAUAGAACUACAGAGGGUGCACAGGUGUGAGUGGAUGUGUAAACAGAGCGUGCACGUGCCCCCUUUCGAGGACCAGCAACAACUCGUGUCGACGGUUCGGUAAUGAUCCUUCCGCAGGUUCACCUACGGAAA